AGAGAGGUGCUCGAGUGGUUGAAGAGGCUAGCCUGGAAAGUUAGUAUACGGGUAACCGUAUCGAGGGUUCGAAUCCCUUCCUCUCUG
This 87-nucleotide transfer RNA is filed under the name Cruoricaptor ignavus. RNAcentral's name for it is "tRNA-Ser". It matches the Rfam family "tRNA". Rfam says of the family: Transfer RNA (tRNA) molecules are approximately 80 nucleotides in length. Their secondary structure includes four short double-helical elements and three loops (D, anti-codon, and T loops). The record is from RNAcentral. Lineage: Bacteria; Pseudomonadati; Bacteroidota; Flavobacteriia; Flavobacteriales; Weeksellaceae. RNAcentral also lists the same sequence under 1 other name.